This 301-nucleotide ribosomal RNA is filed under the name uncultured bacterium. Its description in RNAcentral is "partial 16S ribosomal RNA". It matches the Rfam family "Bacterial small subunit ribosomal RNA", at positions 509 to 807 of the family's 1533-position model. The record is from RNAcentral.
CAGUAGCCGCGGUAAUACGAAGGGGGCUAGCGUUGUUCGGAUUUACUGGGCGUGAAGGGUGCGUAGGCGGACUGAUAAGUCAGGGGUGAAAUCCCAAGGCUCAACCUUGGAACUGCCUUUGAUACUGUUUGUCUUGAGUUCGAGAGAGGUAAGUGGAACUGCGAGUGUAGAGGUGAAAUUCGUAGAUAUUCGCAAGAACACCAGUGGCGAAGGCGGCUUACUGGCUCGAAACUGACGCUGAGGCGCGAAAGCGUGGGGAGCAAACAGGAUUAGAUACCCCCGUAGUCCCUGUCUCUUAUAC